Long non-coding RNA from Amphimedon queenslandica, 318 nucleotides. RefSeq lists it as uncharacterized. The record is from RefSeq and is a predicted model, not a curated record. The transcript is spliced from 3 exons. NCBI's taxonomy places the organism in Eukaryota, Metazoa, Porifera, Demospongiae, Haplosclerida, Niphatidae.
UCAUCAUCUACUCUUGGUAUACCCUUGGUUUUAUAUCUAAGUAUGUAUUUUUAUUUAUCUAGCUUGGCAACACUUUGCUGCAAUUUGCUGUUGAAGCAGGCAAAACUCAAGUUGUUGAGUUACUAUAUUCUAGAGGACAUGCUAAAAUGGCUGCUGCUGGUGAAAAAUUUGGUAUUGAUCCUUCUGGACUAUCUAUUAUUGAAAAAAAAGAAAAAAAGAUGACUAAGAAGCAAAAAGAUAGUGUAGCAAAGGAAAUGUUACAAAAGUCAACAAAAAUGUUAAGUGAUCUUACGUUGUCACCUAAAUCAGUAAGAAGAU